This 368-nucleotide long non-coding RNA is filed under the name Sorghum bicolor (sorghum). RNAcentral's name for it is "long non-coding RNA (SBIC_LNC009837)". The record is from RNAcentral. Lineage: Eukaryota; Viridiplantae; Streptophyta; Magnoliopsida; Poales; Poaceae.
GGCGACUCGUCAAACUCGAAGCUCUAGUUUCAAUCGAUCAAUUCGUUGCAGUAUUAUCAAGUACAGUAUAUAUCAACAUCGGUGGCAAUGGCAUGGCUGGUGGUUGAUGAUUGCUCUAUCUAGUGUGCGUCAGUAUCAGCAAUAUGAUCAGUGGUAUAUCACUGGAUCAGACAGGAGAGUAAGUAUGUAAUGGUGGUUGAUGUAGUGUGCGUCAGUAUCAGCAAUAUGACAGUGUUGCUACUACAGAGUUCCUCGAGGAGCCGGAGCUGCUAGGAUCAUUGGGGCUUGUUUAGUUCCGAAAAUUGUUUGGUUUUCGUUACUAUAUUAAUUUUUUAAAGACAUCAAAUUUUACGGCACAUGCAUGGAGU